UGUACGGGUCAAAUCUUGCAAGUUAAAUUUGACCCACUUCCCGGUUUCCGAUGAAGCUGAAAAUUUGCAUACUCGGGUGAUAAUGCAAUAUUAUGGUACCAUCGAGCUGAUCUGAUGAUGAAGACAGGAGGUGGUCUUAGGAACUCUGUGAUAAAACAACGCAACCUAAUUCUGUUUGGGGUUUUUAGAAUUGACUCAAUGAGUAUUAGUUGCCUGUGGAAAAAAGUACAGUCAGCGAUAAAAGCUUGUACUAAAAAUUAAAUUUUUGCCAAAAACUUA
Long non-coding RNA from Cydia strobilella, 279 nucleotides. RefSeq lists it as uncharacterized. NCBI's taxonomy places the organism in Eukaryota, Metazoa, Arthropoda, Insecta, Lepidoptera, Tortricidae. The record is from RefSeq and is a predicted model, not a curated record. The transcript has 3 exons.